UUUGAUAAGUCAGCGGUGAAAGUUUGCAGCUUAACUGUAAAAAUGCCGUUGAAACUGUCGGACUUGAGUGUAAAUGAGGUAGGCGGAAUGCGUGGUGUAGCGGUGAAAUGCAUAGAUAUCACGCAGAACUCCGAUUGCGAAGGCAGCUUACUAAGCUACAACUGACACUGAAGCACGAAAGCGUGGGGAUCAAACAGGAUUAGAUACCCUGGUAGUCCACGCAGUAAACGAUGAUUACUAGCUGUUUGCGAUACACAGUAAGCGGCACAGCGAAAGCGUUAAGUAAUCCACCUGGGGAGUACGCCGGCAACGGUGAAACUCAAAGGAAUUGACGGGGGCCCGCACAAGCGGAGGAACAUGUGGUUUAAUUCGAUGAUACGCGAGGAACCUUACCCGGGCUUGAAUUGCAGACGAAUGAUGUGGAAACAUGUCAGCCAGCAAUGGCGUCUGUGAAGGUGCUGCAUGGUUGUCGUCAGCUCGUGCCGUGAGGUGUCGGCUUAAGUGCCAUAACGAGCGCAACCCUCGCCGAUAGUUACUAACAGGUAGUGCUGAGGACUCUAUCGGGACUGCCAUCGUAAGAUGCGAGGAAGGUGGGGAUGACGUCAAAUCAGCACGGCCCUUACGUCCGGGGCGACACACGUGUUACAAUGGGGGGGACAGAGGGCUGCCACUGGGCGACCAGGAGCCAAUCCCUAAACCCUCUCUCAGUUCGGAUCGAAGUCUGCAACCCGACUUCGUGAAGCUGGAUUCGCUAGUAAUCGCGCAUCAGCCAUGGCGCGGUGAAUACGUUCCCGGGCCUUGUACACACCGCCCGUCAAGCCAUGGGAGCUGGGGGUGCCUGAAGUGCGUAGCCGCAAGGAGCGUCCUAGGGCAAAACCGGUGACUGGGGCUAAGUCGUAACAAGGUAACC
Molecule: ribosomal RNA, 910 nt
Filed under: uncultured bacterium
Lineage: Bacteria
Description: bacterial SSU rRNA
Rfam family: Bacterial small subunit ribosomal RNA
Source: RNAcentral